Molecule: ribosomal RNA, 934 nt
Filed under: uncultured bacterium
Lineage: Bacteria
Description: bacterial SSU rRNA
Rfam family: Bacterial small subunit ribosomal RNA
Source: RNAcentral
AGAGUUUGAUCAUGGCUCAGGAUAAACGCUGGCGGCGUGCCUAACACAUGCAAGUCGAACGCUCUUGGGAGCAAUCCCAAGGGAGUGGCGGACGGGUGAGUAACACGUGGGUACCUACCCUGUGGUGAGGAAUACCGGCGAGAAAUCGCCGACAAUACUGCAUACGUUUGCGAUGCAAACAAAGCUCGGGAAACCGGGUGCCAUAGGAAGGGCCUGCGGCCGAUUAGCUAGUUGGGGGGGUAAAAGCCUCCCAAGGCGACGAUCGGUAGCUGGUCUGAGAGGACGAUCAGCCACACUGGGAUUGAGAACGGCCCAGACUCCUACGGGGGGCAGCAGUGAGGAAUUUUCGUCAAUGGGGGCGACCCUGAACGAGCAACGCCGCGUGCAGGAUGAAGGUUUUCGGAUCGUAAACUGCUUUUCUCUGGGACGAGAACGGACGGUACCAGAGGAAGAAGCCCCGGCUAACUACGUGCCAGCAGCCGCGGUAAUACGUAGGGGGCAAGCGUUGUCCGGAUUUAUUGGGCGUAAAGCGCACGCAGGCGGUCUGCCAAGUUCGGAGUGACAGUUUCCGGCUUAACCGGAAAAGGUCUUCGAAAACUGGCGGACUUGAGGACUUGAGGGGGAGACGGAAUUCCGGGUGGAGCGGUGAAAUGCGUAGAGAUCCGGAGGAACACCGAAAGCGAAGGCAGUCUCCUGGCAAGUUCCUGACGCUCAGGUGCGAAAGCUAGGGGAGCGAACAGGAUUAGAUACCCUGGUAGUCCUAGCCGUAAACGAUGGCCACUAGCGUGGGGGGGAUCGACCCCUUCCGUGCCGCAGCUUACGCAAUAAGUGGUCCGCCUGGGGAGUACGGUCGCAAGAUUAAAACUCAAGGAAUUGACGGGGACCCGCACAAGCAGCGGAGCGUGUGGUUUAAUUCGAUGCAACGCGAGAACCC